GUAGGGAAUCUUGCGCAAUGGGCGAAAGCCUGACGCAGCCAUGCCGCGUGAAUGAUGAAGGUCUUAGGAUUGUAAAAUUCUUUCACCGGGGACGAUAAUGACGGUACCCGGAGAAGAAGCUCCGGCUAACUUCGUGCCAGCAGCCGCGGUAAUACGAGGGGGGCUAGCGUUGCUCGGAAUUACUGGGCGUAAAGGGCGCGUAGGCGGACAGCUUAGUCAGAGGUGAAAGCCCAGGGCUCAACCUUGGAAUUGCCUUUGAUACUGGCUGUCUUGAGUUUGGGAGAGGUGAGUGGAACUCCGAGCGUAGAGGUGAAAUUCGUAGAUAUUCGGAAGAACACCAGUGGCGAAGGCGACUCACUGGCCCAAUACUGACGCUGAGGCGCGAAAGCGUGGGGAGCAAACAGGAUUAGAAACCCGGGUAGUCC
RNAcentral lists this ribosomal RNA (425 nucleotides) under uncultured bacterium. RNAcentral's name for it is "partial 16S ribosomal RNA". It matches the Rfam family "Bacterial small subunit ribosomal RNA", at positions 354 to 796 of the family's 1533-position model. The record is from RNAcentral.